RNAcentral lists this ribosomal RNA (82 nucleotides) under Staphylococcus felis. RNAcentral also lists the same sequence under 1 other name. The record is from RNAcentral. Lineage: Bacteria; Bacillati; Bacillota; Bacilli; Caryophanales; Staphylococcaceae.
UCUGGUGCCAAUGGCAAAGAGGUCACACCUGUUCCCAUGCCGAACACAGAAGUUAAGCUCUUUAGCGCCGAUGGUAGUCGGA